This 460-nucleotide ribosomal RNA is filed under the name uncultured bacterium. RNAcentral's name for it is "partial 16S ribosomal RNA". It matches the Rfam family "Bacterial small subunit ribosomal RNA", at positions 338 to 795 of the family's 1533-position model. The record is from RNAcentral.
CCUACGGGAGGCAGCAGUGAGGAAUAUUGGUCAAUGGGCGGAAGCCUGAACCAGCCAAGUCGCGUGAGGGAAUAAGGCCCUACGGGUCGUAAACCUCUUUUGCCGGGGAGCAAGGGCGGGGACGUGUCCCGGCCCGGAGAGUACCCGGAGAAAAAGCAUCGGCUAACUCCGUGCCAGCAGCCGCGGUAAUACGGAGGAUGCGAGCUUUAUCCGGAUUUAUUGGGUUUAAGGGGUGCGUAGGCGGGCUUUUAAGUCGGUGGGAAAGAUUCGGGGUAAAACCCCGUCCGGCCGUUGAUACUGGGAGCCUUGAGUGCGCGAGAGGAAGGCGGAAUGCGUGGUGUAGCGGUGAAAUGCAUAGAUAUCACGCAGAACCCCGAUUGCGAAGGCAGCCUGCCGGCGCCCUACUGACGCUGAGGCACGAAAGUGCGGGGAUCGAACAGGAUUAGAUACCCUUGUAGUC